CCUACGGGAGGCAGCAGUGGGGAAUCUUAGACAAUGGGCGCAAGCCUGAUCUAGCCAUGCCGCGUGUGUGAUGAAGGUCUUAGGAUCGUAAAGCACUUUCGCCAGGGAUGAUAAUGACAGUACCUGGUAAAGAAACCCCGGCUAACUCCGUGCCAGCAGCCGCGGUAAUACGGAGGGGGUUAGCGUUGUUCGGAAUUACUGGGCGUAAAGCGUACGUAGGCGGAUUGGAAAGUUGGGGGUGAAAUCCCAGGGCUCAACCCUGGAACUGCCUCCAAAACUAUCAGUCUAGAGUUCGAGAGAGGUGAGUGGAAUUCCAAGUGUAGAGGUGAAAUUCGUAGAUAUUUGGAGGAACACCAGUGGCGAAGGCGGCUCACUGGCUCGAUACUGACGCUGAGGUACGAAAGUGUGGGGAGCAAACAGGAUUAGAUACCCUGGUAG
RNAcentral lists this ribosomal RNA (438 nucleotides) under Sulfitobacter sp. RNAcentral's name for it is "bacterial SSU rRNA". It matches the Rfam family "Bacterial small subunit ribosomal RNA", at positions 338 to 793 of the family's 1533-position model. The record is from RNAcentral. Lineage: Bacteria; Pseudomonadati; Pseudomonadota; Alphaproteobacteria; Rhodobacterales; Roseobacteraceae. RNAcentral also lists the same sequence under 1 other name.